This 426-nucleotide ribosomal RNA is filed under the name uncultured bacterium. RNAcentral's name for it is "bacterial SSU rRNA". It matches the Rfam family "Bacterial small subunit ribosomal RNA", at positions 355 to 774 of the family's 1533-position model. The record is from RNAcentral.
UCGAGAAUUUUUCACAAUGGGCGAAAGCCUGAUGGAGCGACGCCGCGUGGGGGAUGAAUGGCUUCGGCCCGUAAACCCCUGUCAUUUGCGAGCAAUGCUAUGGUGUGAACAGCAUCAUGGUUGAUAGUAGCAAAAGAGGAAGGGACGGCUAACUCUGUGCCAGCAGCCGCGGUAAUACAGAGGUCCCAAGCGUUGUUCGGAUUCACUGGGCGUAAAGGGUGCGUAGGUGGCAAGGUAAGUUCGAUGUGAAAUCUCCGGGCUCAACCCGGAAACUGCAUUGAAUACUCUCUUGCUCGAGGAUUGGAGGGGGGACUGGAAUUCUCGGUGUAGCAGUGAAAUGCGUAGAUAUCGAGAGGAACACCGGUGGCGAAGGCGAGUCCCUGGACAAUUCCUGACACUGAGGCACGAAAGCUAGGGGAGCAAACA